RNAcentral lists this ribosomal RNA (274 nucleotides) under uncultured bacterium. RNAcentral's name for it is "partial 16S ribosomal RNA". It matches the Rfam family "Archaeal small subunit ribosomal RNA", at positions 473 to 747 of the family's 1478-position model. The record is from RNAcentral.
AAACCAGCACCUCAAGUGGUCAGGUUGAUUAUUGGGCCUAAAGCAUCCGUAGCCGGCUCUGUAGUUUUUCGGUUAAAUCUGUACGCUCAACGUACAGGCUGCUGGGAAUACUGCAGAGCUAGGGAGUGGGAGAGGUAGACGGUACUCGGGAGGAAGUGGUAAAAUGCUUUGAUCUCUCGAUGACCACCUGUGGCGAAGGCGGUCUACCAGAACACGUCCGACGGUGAGGGAUGAAAGCUGGGGGAGCAAACCGGAUUAGAAACCCCGGUAGUCC